Molecule: RNA transcript, 5824 nt
Organism: Solanum dulcamara
Lineage: Eukaryota; Viridiplantae; Streptophyta; Magnoliopsida; Solanales; Solanaceae
Gene name: disease resistance protein RPP13-like
Exons: 6
Source: RefSeq, a predicted model, not a curated record
GGAAUCUGCUGGGGUUGUUUCAUAGGAGUAACUCGGAACAUUCGACUUGUUGGCUUUAUGUAAUUUAACCAUGAAGAAAUUUUGAUACUCUAGAUCUAGAGUAAAUACACUUAGGGACUUGAAAUUUCUUGUAUACAGCCCUCUUUUUCUACCCUCUCAUUAAAGUGAAGAUGGUUGAUGCCUUUGUGUCUUUUGCAGUUCAAAAACUGGGGGAUUUCCUCAUACAGGAAGCUUCCCUGCGUUUAAGUCUAAGUAAGGAUGUGCAGUGGCUGCGAAAUGAGCUUUUCUUCAUGCAGUCUUUCCUCAAAGAUGCAGAACAAAAGCAAGUUGAAGAUCAAAGAGUUCAACAAUGGGUGUUUGAGAUCAACUCUGUUGCUAAUGACGUUGUUGCUAUAUUGGAGACUUAUAGCUUCGAGGCUAGUAAAGGUGAUGACGAUAGAUUUGCUAAUCGUCUGAAGGCUUGCACCUGCAUCUGCAGGAAGGAGACAAAAUUCUACAACGUCAGCAAGGAGAUCCAAUCACUCAAGCAUCGAAUCAUGGAUAUCUCUCGCAAACGAGAGACUUAUGGUAUUACAAAUAUCAAUAAUGCAGUAGAAGGGCCAAGUAAUCGGUCAAACAAUCAGUCUGACAUGGUUAGAACGUUGAGGAGAACUACCUCAUAUGUAGAUGAGGAUCACAUUUUUGUUGGCUUUCAGGAUGUUGUAGAAAGAUUGCUAGCUGAACUUCUCAAAGCAGAGCCUCGCCAAAGUGUCAUCUCCAUUUACGGUAUGGGCGGAUUAGGCAAGACUACUCUUGCGAGAAACCUCUACACAAGUCCUAAUAUAGUCAAUAGUUUCCAUACACGUGCAUGGAUAUGUGUUUCUCAAGAGUACAACACAAUCGAUCUCCUUAGGAAUAUCAUAAAAUCCAUCGAAGGUUGCACCAAGGAAACUCUAGAUUUGUUGGAAAGGAUGACAGAAAAAAAAAACAAAUUUACCUUCGUAAUCUGUUAAAAGAACUCAAAUACCUUGUGGUGGUUGAUGAUUUAUGGCAUAGAGAAGCUUGGGAAAGUUUGAAACGAACAUUUCCAGAUAGCAAGAAUGGCAGCAGAGUUAUUAUUACCACGCGCAAAGAGGAUGUCGCUGAAAGAUCAGAUAACAAAGGUUUUGUCUAUAGACUUCGUUUCCUGCGCCAAGAAGAAAGUUGGGAUCUCUUUUGUAGGAAACUACUUGAUGUUCGGGCAAUGGUCUCAGCAAUGGAAAGUCUAGCUAAGGAUAUGGUGGACAAGUGUGGAGGUUUACCUCUUGCAAUUGUUGUAUUAAGCGGACUACUUUCACAUAAAAGGGGGCUAGAAGAAUGGCAAAAGGUGAAGGACCACCUCUGGCAGAACAUUAAAGACGACUCUAUUGAAAUCUCCUACAUACUAUCAUUGAGCUACAACGAUUUGUCAACUAAGCUCAAGCAGUGUUUCCUCUACUUUGGUAUUUUUCCAGAAGAUUAUGUGGUCCGUGUUGAUCACAUAUUAUGGUUGUGGAUGGCUGAAGGAUUCAUACCAACAGGAGAAGAAAUAAUGGAGGAUGUUGCUGAAGGCUUCUUGAAUGACUGAUAAGACGAAGCUUGAUACAAGUGGUAGGUACAUUUUGGGAAAAAGUUAGUAAAUGUAGGAUUCAUGAUCUACUUCGCGAUCUUGCCGUACAAAAAGCAUUGGAGGUAAACUUUUUUGACAUUUAUGAUCCAAGAAAGCACUCUGUAUCCUCCUUGUGUCUUAGACAUGCCAUUCAUAGUCAAGCAAAAAGGUAUCUCUCACUAGAUCUUUCUAACUUGAAGUUGAGGUCACUUAUGUUCGUUGAUCAAGACUUUUCAAAGAUGGGUAUUAUAAAGUUCCGUAAUAUGUUCCAACAUCUAUAUGUGUUGUGCUUGGAGAUUCAUGUUGACAAUAUAUCUAUAAUACCUGCUGCCAUAGGAAGUUUGUACCACCUCAAGUUCUUAAGACUGAGAGGUAUCCAUGAUCUUCCGUCUUCCAUUGGCAACCUCAAGAAUUUACAGACACUUCUCGUCAAUGACUAUGGAUACUUUUGCCAACUACCCCGUGAGACAGCUGACCUAAUAAAUCUAAGACAUUUAGUUGCUCCGUAUACAAAACCUCUGAAAUGCAUAAGCAAACUCACUAGUCUUCAAGUUCUUAAAGGCAUCCAUUGUGAUCAGUGGAGAGAUGUUGACCCUGUUGAUUUAGUCAAUCUUCGAGAAUUAAGCAUGUAUAAAAUUACCAUAUCUUACACCCUAAACAACAUUAGCAGCUUGAAAAACCUUAGAACUCUCAGAUUGUUGUGUAAAGAUAAUGAAAUAUUCCCAGCCCUUGAAUUUCUUAUUUCUUGUCAAAUGCUCUACAAAUUAUGGUUAGAAGGAAGAAUAGAGAAACUGCCUCUGUCGGACCAAUUUCCAAAUUCCAUCAUAAUGAUGACCCUUUAUCACUCACAACUCACGGAAGAUCCGAUGCCUAUUUUGGGAAUAUUGCCAAACCUAAGGAAUCUGGAUUUAUUUAGAGCUUAUGAUGGAAAAGAAAUUACCUGCAGUGAUAGCAGCUUCAGUCAACUGGAGUUCCUUCGUCUUGAUUGUCUUGAGAACCUUGAAAGAUGGCAUUUAGCCACAAGUGCCAUGCCAAAUAUUAAAGGUAUUGAUAUCCAUCGUUGUCCAAAGCUAAAUGAGAUUCCCGAGAGAAUGAAAGACGUGGACAGAACUCCUUUUCGAUGAAGCUUUUCAAGCAUAUAUGAUGUCCUAUUAUCGGCCUCUUUCAUAAUCGUAGAGGUAAUAAAUCCCAAUACACAAUAACCAUUUCUUUAAUUCCUUUUAGUGUUAGUGGGAGCAACUAAUAUGAAUUUAAAUACAGUUCUAUGGAAAAUGACUCUCACCCUUUUUUAUGAAACUAUUCUGAUAAGCAAAUUACAAAAAUUUCCUCGGAAAUGACUUUCAUCGUACGAAAACAAACCCAGUUUUAUGAGCAAUCAAUUAUUUGGUUGACACUUGAUAUUGUCUUGAACAUUUUAUAAUUUUUAUCAUAAUUGAUAAAUCUUUUGUCUUCUAUUUAGUAUUAUAUUAAAUAGUUUCUUACAAUUUGAGUUAAGCAGGGGAAGAAAGAAGCUGUCAGAGGAAAUAAAAUAGCAGAUGGGGGUAUUUUUGCCAAGCACUUGAAGGGAUUGGUAUGGCUAAAGUUGGAUUGUUCAUCGGAGCAUUAAUCAGGUUUCAGGGCUGUCACAACCUUGAGUGUGUUUUCAGUGUUUUUUGUUUGUUUGUUUUGAGCUUUUUGAGUGUAUGGAAUUGGUUUGAAGAGAAUUGUUUUUGGGAUUCUAUGCAAAAAUGAUUUUCUGAUGUUUUAAAUAAUUGUUCCACCUGAUCAAUGCGAUAGGCAGCUUUGUCUAUCUCAAUUUUCUAGGCAUUCUGUAUUAACAUUCAUGAUCCCUAGAUACUGCACAUGAGUUAUCAAACUACAAAACGAAGGUACCUUCUUGUAUUGUUCAAUUUGAUUUCAGAAACCACAUCAAAAUUCCUGCUUUGGAUAUCAGGUCCUGCUUUAAACUGUCCAGAUGAUGCCCUCUUACGUCUACUUAAAUGCUGUGUUCACAUUCAUUUCAUGCUAGUAAAUAGUAACUAAGGUCAAGAUUGCAUCAUCAAUAAUGGAAACAACAUCAACAGAGUAAACAAAACUGAAAUACAGACGAUGACUCACAAAGCACAGAUUGCUGUUCAUAAAUUCAAGUAACUAUGCUUUUUCACACUGAACACAUCAAUUUCACCAUAAUAAUUGGUUGGGCAACUCAAUUAGACGACACCAAAACCCAAUAUGAAGAUUAUAAGACUUCAUAUUUACAUACUUAACAAAUUAUUUAAGGAGAAUAAAGUGUACUCUAUUGGAAAUCUUAUGGAAAAUACUCUACCAUGACGAAUACUAAUACUCCAUCGCGAAUAUUAACACUUCAUCACGAAUACUAAGUACUAACACUUCAUCGCAAACACUUGUAAGGAAUUCACAUAGGCAUAGCUUGAGGUGUGCUUCUGUCAAUGUCUUAACGAUAUUUCACCCGGUAUAGGUGUAUCCCUCAAAAUUCAACAAGUUUUUCUAGUAUAAAACUAGGAGCCAAAAUCUAAUAAAGAUUUAAAAGAACAAAAUCCAGCACACCAAUAAAAUAUGAGAGGAAAAAAUUAUUUCUUAGAGAUGUAUUUUUGUCUCCCUCUAUAUCUUUGUAAAAGAGGAGGACAUUAUUUAUAGGGAAAACAUAUAUGAGGUUAAAGCCUCCAACGGAAAGAGAGAAUUAAUGCCAAUAGGAUUAAUGACACAUGCUGCAACGGAAAGAGAGAAAGAAAGACGUGGAGAUGUUGACGCCUUUCAAGCAUAUAUGAAGUCUUAUUUCAUAGCAGCAAAGGAGAAGACGCUAUCACUUGAAGAAAUUUACGGUUGAUGAAGUUGGGCUAUCGAAACUUCAACUUUGCUACAUGGUCUCCAUCAACUAACUAGACCUGAAAAUGCCUUAUGGAGACCAGAUGUUGGUGUGGCAUUAUAUCUAGGGAGGCAAGUACAUGCUUACGGUAACGAUUGAGGAGUUGAGUGUCUUCAUGACGACCGCAUUGAUCGCGUUUUAUGGGAAGAUGGGUUGUUUGGUUUAUGCUUCAAAGAUAUUUGAUGCAAUGGUUAGCAAGCAAGUUUGCUCUUGGAAUUCUAUGAUUUCUUCCCUAGCUUUGAAUGUAAGAGAGAAGCAGGCAUUAACGAUGUAUGAGAAGAUGAGGGCAAAGGGGCUGCAACCAAAUGAGAUUACCUUCGUGGCUGUUCUAUCAGCUUGUGCACGUGCCAAGCUUGUCUAUUUCGGUUUUAAAUUGUUUGAAGCAAUGCCAAAUGAAUUUGGACUUGUAGCUAAGAUGGAACAUUAUGGUUGUGUGGUUGAUCUCUUAGGGAGACAUGGGCUACUACAGGAAGCGUACGACUUCAUAAAGAAGAUGCCUUUUGAAGCUGAUGCCACUGUCUUGGGGGUUCUGAUGGGUGCUUGUAGACUUCAUGGAGCUAUUGAAUUGGGAAAUGAAGUAGCACAACUACUACUUGAGUCACAACUGAAUCAUUCAGGGCGUUAUGUGCAUCUCUCAAGAAUUUAUGCUGGCGCAGAGAGGUGGGAUCAUGCUGCUGCCUUGAGAAAAGCAAUAUUAGAUGCUGGAAUACACAGUUUUAUUUAGUGGAGCUUAUAACUGCCACAGCUUGGUGAUGGAAUCUCGACUCAUCAAAAUCAGCUAAGUCAUAGCUUGACAGAUCAAGGAGGAUGCAUUUUUGUGAAAAUGCACAACAAACCUGGUUCCAAAGUCUGUUUGGCGAGGUCUCUAUGAAAGUUGUUGUUUGGGACUGAUGCAUAGUUGUUGUAUAGCAGUGAUAUCCAGGUACUUAAAUGACACAACGCUAUGAGCAGCUCAUGAGGCCGUGUUGGAUACUAUAGCGUGUAAUGCUGAAUUCAUUGAUGAUAGUAACAGAAGACUCCUUCUGAGAGAGGCCGUGUUGGAUACUAGAUAUUCUGAGUUGUGGAUUGGAAGAUUCCUAUUUAUGAGAUCAUAGUCUCUUAGUUGUGGAUUGGAAGAUUCCUAUUUAUGAGAUCAUAGUCUCUUUCUCGUGAUGGGCAUUUUGCUGCUGCUUCAAUGAAAAAAGACUGAAACUUUGGCCCAAGGUGUCCUGAACUUAUGUUCUAUGUUUGUGUUAAUGUUAAAGAGUAAAGUGAAAAUGUUUUUAGUGAGGCAGGCACAUAUCGUCCGAUUGAAUGAUCUAAAGAUUCAAAAUUUGUGUCUGAUUUCUGUUUAUCAGUUGAAUUUAUUUCUA